RNAcentral lists this ribosomal RNA (1063 nucleotides) under uncultured organism. RNAcentral's name for it is "bacterial SSU rRNA". It matches the Rfam family "Bacterial small subunit ribosomal RNA", at positions 277 to 1344 of the family's 1533-position model. The record is from RNAcentral.
CGAUGUUUAGGGGGUCUGAGAGGAUGGUCCCCCACACUGGUACUGAGACACUGACCAGACUCCUACGGGAGGCAGCAGUGAGGAAUAUUGGUCAAUGGGCGAAAGCCUGAACCAGCCAUGCCGCGUGAAGGAUGACGGCCCUAUGGGUUGUAAACUUCUUUUAUACGGGAAGAAACCGUCCUACGUGUAGGGCGUUGACUGUACCGUACGAAUAAGCAUCGGCUAACUCCGUGCCAGCAGGCGCGGUAAUGCGGAGGAUGCAAGCGUUAUCCGGAUUUAUUGGGUUUAAAGGGUGCGUAGGCGGAAAUUUAAGUCAGUGAUGAAAUCCUGCGGCUCAAACGUAGAGCUGUUAUUGAUACUGAAUUUCUUGAAUACAGUUGAGGUAUGCGGAAUGAGUAAUGUAGCGGUGAAAUGCUUAGAUAUUACUCAGAACACCGAUUGCGAAGGCAGCUUACUAAACUGAUAUUGACGCUGAGGCACGAAAGCGUGGGGAGCGAACAGGAUUAGAUACCCUGGUAGUCCACGCCGUAAACGAUGAUCACUCGUUGUUGGCAAUACACCGUCAGCGACUGAGCGAAAGCAUUAAGUGAUCCACCUGGGGAGUACGAUCGCAAGAUUGAAACUCAAAGGACUUGACGGGGGCCCGCACAAGCGGAGGAACAUGUGGUUUAAUUCGAUGAUACGCGAGGAACCUUACCUGGGCUUAAAUGUAGAGCGACGGACCGGGAAACUGGUCUUUCUUCGGACGAUCUACAAGGUGCUGCAUGACUGUCGUCAGCUCGUGCCGUGAGCUGUCGGGUUAAGUCCCAUAACGAGCGCAACCCUCAUCAUUAGUUGCCAGCGGGUAAUGCCGGGGACUCUAAUGAAACUGCCGGUGUAAACCGAGAGGAAGCUGGGGAUGACGUCAAGUCAGCACGGCCCUUAUGUCCAGGGCUACACACGUGUUACAAUGGUCAGUACAAAGGGCAGCUACCAUGCGAAUGGAUGCUAAUCUCGAAAACUGGUCUCAGUUCGGAUCGGAGUCUGCAACUCGACUUCGUGAAGUUGGAUUCGCUAGUAAUCG